AUGCAAGUCGAGGGGUAUAGUUCUUCGGAACUAGAGGCCGGCGCACGGGUGCGUAACGCGUAUGCAAUCUACCUUUCACAGAGGGAUAGCCCAGAGAAAUUUGGAUUAAUACCUCAUAGUAUAUCGAGUUGGCAUCAACAUGAUAUUAAAGUCACAACGGUGAAAGAUGAGCAUGCGUCCCAUUAGCUAGUUGGUAAGGUAACGGCUUACCAAGGCAACGAUGGGUAGGGGUCCUGAGAGGGAGAUCCCCCACACUGGUACUGAGACACGGACCAGACUCCUACGGGAGGCAGCAGUGAGGAAUAUUGGACAAUGGGCGCAAGCCUGAUCCAGCCAUGCCGCGUGCAGGAUGACGGUCCUAUGGAUUGUAAACUGCUUUUGCACAGGAAGAAACACUACUUCGUGAAGUAGCUUGACGGUACUGUGAGAAUAAGGAUCGGCUAACUCCGUGCCAGCAGCCGCGGUAAUACGGAGGAUCCAAGCGUUAUCCGGAAUCAUUGGGUUUAAAGGGUCCGUAGGCGGUUUAGUAAGUCAGUGGUGAAAGCCCAUCGCUCAACGGUGGAACGGCCAUUGACACUGCUAAACUUGAAUUAUUAGGAAGUAACUAGAAUAUGUAGUGUAGCGGUGAAAUGCUUAGAGAUUACAUGGAAUACCAAUUGCGAAGGCAGGUUACUACUAAUGGAUUGACGCUGAUGGACGAAAGCGUGGGUAGCGAACAGGAUUAGAUACCCUGGUAGUCCACGCCGUAAACGAUGGAUACUAGCUGUUGGGAGCAAUCUCAGUGGCUAAGCGAAAGUGAUAAGUAUCCCACCUGGGGAGUACGUUCGCAAGAAUGAAACUCAAAGGAAUUGACGGGGCCGCACAGCGGUGGAGCAUGUGGUUUAUUCGAUGAUACGCGAGGAACCUUACCAAGGCUUAAUGUAGAUUGACCGG
Molecule: ribosomal RNA, 933 nt
Filed under: uncultured bacterium
Lineage: Bacteria
Description: bacterial SSU rRNA
Rfam family: Bacterial small subunit ribosomal RNA
Source: RNAcentral